Molecule: non-coding RNA, 1979 nt
Organism: Pelodiscus sinensis (Chinese soft-shelled turtle)
Lineage: Eukaryota; Metazoa; Chordata; Testudines; Trionychidae
Source: RefSeq, a predicted model, not a curated record
AAAGAUUAGGCAGGGUACUGGGCUAUGAAUCUACCACAUGCCUGCCAUGAGAUCACAAUGUUUUAACAGAAUUUAGGAAUUUUGAAAUGUCAAGAGACGUGGACGAUAGUUAUGACUAUCCUGCCUGUUCUGCAAGGUGGGAAUCAGAAUUAUAUCUCUGUAAUCGCCGGAACUCAUUCCCUUUCUCAUUGUCAAAGCUAUAACUGAUCAGAUAUCAGGUGUUCAGGCAAAGAGUUGAGUAGAAGGGCUCACUCUGUCUGCCACCAAGAGCAGCAAUGAAAGAACUGGCGGGAGUCGGACCCUGCGCUUGUGCAAAAGGGCACAAACGUCACGAGACACCAACUGUGCACAUGCAGUCCGGCUGACUACUGCUAUGCAAAACUCCAAUCUGCGGCACUGGGACGACCUGACAACCGUGGAGCACCCAUGGGGACAACAUUUGAAGAAAGGAAGGUUGUCAAUUUAAGUCAGGAGUUGCUGGGACACAGUGUGCCAAGUUUGGUAGUGACAGCGGAUGCAGGACAGGUUCCAGGCAAGACAGAGAUGGUUGCCAAAAGGAAGUUGGCAGCAGGGGGUAUUGGGAAAUGAGAGACAGUGGGCACUAGGGUGGGUUUGGCAGGUUUAAUAAUACAGAGACGCAGAGUACCAGGCUUGGCUGGAUGGGGACAGUGGGUUCUGGAGUUGCAGGUAGAGGGAUGUGCAGUGACAAGAAGGGGUCAGCGGAUGAAUGGGUUGGUGGACAGGUAACAUUUUGUGUAUUUGCAUAUUCAUAAUGAAUAUGCAAAUACACAAAUAAAAUGUUGCAGGUCCGCCAACAGCUUGUAAAUGGGUUUGCCGGUCGGCGGUAUAAAAAAGGUUGGGAACCACUGGACUAGGGUGUAGUAACUGCAACUACUUUUUUGUGGGGUGCAUUACAUUUACUAAAAUUUUGAACUGUUGAUGUCACUGUAAUAUUUCUGUUCUUUGGCCUGCUAGUUCCACCUUACAGUAGUAACAAAAUGUAUUCUGCACAUGGAAGGCAAAAAAUAGUGGAAACAUUGACUCUGAGGCAGUAAAGUGAAAGCUGCUGUAUUUCCUUCAGAAUUUCUCAGGAACAGCAAGCAACAUUAUGGAGAUGUAUUUGAAACCAAAUAUGCAAACAGAGUAGUUUCCUCCUCUCCAAAACCAGUUAAAUCAAAGGCUUUGUAACCUCUCUGUCCCUUGUGAUAAAAUAACAAACCCACUGCCAUUUUCUGCACUAAAACUUUAGUAAUUUAAAAGCACAUCCCUGAGUGAUAUAAGUUUUACCACUGAAAAGCACCAAUAUAGAUAGCACAGCUCCUAGCAAUAAAUAGCUAAUGAGUAGAUCGAUAGAAUGUGUUGUAAAAGCUUCAUCACUUCAUUUGGAAUGAGAUUUUUUAUCACCAGGCGAGAUCUUCCCUGGAGAUAAAGAAUGACUAUGCUGCCCACGUCACAGUGCUAUGGCAGCAGCGCUGAAACGCGGUCAGUGCAGACACCCUAAUUCUCAGAGUUCCUGAUCUCUGAGCCUCCCUUGAAGCUCAGUGUUAACUUGGCAGCUCAGGAAUCACAGAGAAAUUGGUUCAAUUGUACUGUCACUUCCACCCAUCUACAUGAAAAAUCUCUAAAUCUUGUUACUACAUAUUUUAGAAAUGUGUGUCUGUCUGUUCAUUUGUUCAAGAACGCCUCUUAAAUGGUUACAACCACCAAAUUUGGUAUGCAUUUUCCUCUUAAAGCAAUGAAAGAGUUUAUUUGUGGCAGGACAAUGGGACUUGCCUGGAAUGUGAUUAUUUCUCAAAAAACAGAAAGGAAGAGAUUUGCUAACAGGGGCAGUUAUACUACAGAAUGACCACAGGAGGGCAGCAAGGGCCAGAGAUGAGGCCCAGGACAGUUAUAACCCCAUUGGACCCAGAAGUAGAAGGGAUGGAAAAAGGGACAGCUACCUACUGUAUAUUGUAGAAAGUUUGUCUGUCUGUGUGUCU